UAUUUUUGCUGUUAAGUUACAAUACAGCAUUAGUCUCAAGUUGAAUACUUUUAAAGCAUUUUACAUCUUCACUUGAACAGAACUCCGUGGUGACCAUGAAACUACUAUUCCUACUGAUGUGCCUGAUUGGAAUUUGUUCCUCCAUUCCUGUGUCUGAGGAACAUGAUCGAGAGGAGCGCUCAGCCAGCAAUGAGAGGUACAGGGGUUAUGGGCGUGGUUUGGGAGGGUUUUACCCCUAUCAGCAGCCUCGGUACCCAUCCUACCUCCCUUAUGCGCAGCCUUCUCAAGGUAACUCUGCCUUGAUGGCCCUCCUGCCCUUCCUAUUGGCCAGCCUUGCCUCUGCUCCUGCCGCAACUCCUGCUGCAGCUCCAGCUCCAGCCCCGGCAGCGGGUGGAAAAUGAGACGGGCGUCGAUAGGGGAAGGAGAAAACUUGUUUAAAUCAAAUAUGUUGACAUUAGCUCCUGUUCAGAGCUGAUUAUUCCAUCAUUAAUAAAUGAAAUAAGUUAAGAU
This is a long non-coding RNA of Oncorhynchus nerka (sockeye salmon), 510 nucleotides long. RefSeq lists it as uncharacterized. The transcript is spliced from 4 exons. Lineage: Eukaryota; Metazoa; Chordata; Actinopteri; Salmoniformes; Salmonidae. The record is from RefSeq and is a predicted model, not a curated record.